GCGAGAGUGGCGGAAUGGCAGACGCACUGGCCUUAGGAGCCAGCGGCCGCAAGGCCAUAGGGGUUCGAGUCCCCUCUCUCGCACCA
Molecule: transfer RNA, 86 nt
Filed under: Deltaproteobacteria bacterium
Lineage: Bacteria; Pseudomonadati; Myxococcota; Myxococcia
Description: tRNA-Leu
Rfam family: tRNA
About the family: Transfer RNA (tRNA) molecules are approximately 80 nucleotides in length.
Source: RNAcentral